GACGAACGCUGGCGGCGUGCUUAAUACAUGCAAGUCGAACGGAAAGGCCCUGCUUUUGUGGGGUGCUCGCGUGGCGAACGGGUGUGUAACACGUGAGUAACCUGCCCUUGACUUUGGGAUAACUCCAGGAAACUGGGGCUAAUACCGGAUAGGAGCUCCUGCUUCAUGUUGGGGGUUGGAAAGUUUCGGUGGUUGGGGAUGGACUCGCGGCUUAUCAGCGUGUUGGUUGGGUGGUGGCUUACCAAGGCUGUGACGGGUAGCCGGCCUGGCAGGGUGGCCGGGCACAAUGGGACUGAGAUACGGCCCAGACUCCGACGGGAGGCAGCAGUGGGGAAUAUUACAGAAGGGGGGGAAGCCUGAGGCGGAGACGCCGCGGGCGGGAUGACGGCCUUCGAGUUGUAAACCGCUUUCGCAUGUGACGAAGAGUGAGUGACGGUAAUGAGUAAAGAAGCACCGGCUAACUACGUG
This 468-nucleotide ribosomal RNA is filed under the name uncultured bacterium. RNAcentral describes it as "partial 16S ribosomal RNA". It matches the Rfam family "Bacterial small subunit ribosomal RNA", at positions 28 to 507 of the family's 1533-position model. The record is from RNAcentral.